CAUCUCCUACGGGAGGCAGCAGUAGGGAAUCUUCCACAAUGGACGAAAGUCUGAUGGAGCAACGCCGCGUGAGUGAAGAAGGGUUUCGGCUCGGAAAACUCUGUUGGUAGUGAAGAAAGAUAGAGGUAGUAACUGGCCUUUAUUUGACGGUAAUUACUUAGAAAGUCACGGCUAGCUACGUGCCAGCAGCCGCGGUAAUACGUAGGUGGCAAGCGUUGUCCGGAUUUAUUGGGCGUAAAGCGAGUGCAGGCGGGUUCA
Molecule: ribosomal RNA, 258 nt
Filed under: uncultured bacterium
Lineage: Bacteria
Description: partial 16S ribosomal RNA
Rfam family: Bacterial small subunit ribosomal RNA
Source: RNAcentral